Molecule: long non-coding RNA, 394 nt
Filed under: Lactuca sativa (garden lettuce)
Lineage: Eukaryota; Viridiplantae; Streptophyta; Magnoliopsida; Asterales; Asteraceae
Description: long non-coding RNA (LSAT_LNC001850)
Source: RNAcentral
GAAUCGCCCCACACAGAUGGUUGUGACUCAGAUCAAGAUGUCCGAUGUAAGACGCGGACGCUAUCGACUUCGGGAUCGGUCCUUUCAGAUUGUUGUACGACAAAUCCAUCAUCAUGAAGUAAGAUCUAGGCCCGAACACGUCCGGUAUGUUGCCUUCGAUAGCGUUUCUGCUAAGGUUUAAGAUGCUAAUGCUUGAGUUGAUCAAUGUGGCUGGUAGCUUACCUGAAAUCAUGUUUCCAUCCAGAUUCAAUGUCGCCAACACCGCCAUUUUCCCUAGAGAUUCAGGAACAGGUCCGGAGAUCCUGUUCAGCGACAGAUCGAGGUCGGAGAGACGGUAGAUGUAAGAAAUCGUGUAUGGAAUCGGUCCGUAGAUCCUGUUGCCGCUCAGUAACGC